CGCUGGCGAUUUUGACGAGAUUUGUUUUGUUAGUUAAAAGACACGACUUGGCUUUGUUUUCGUUGUUGUUGUUGUUGUUGUUGCUGAUUGUUGUUGUUUGUUGUCUUUUGCAUAACCAAGCCAUGAAAUUCGCGCUUGGAAUUUUGACGAGUCAGUGGACGGUAAAAGAAAAACAACAACUGAGGACAGACGCCAAAUUGUAUUUAGUUUUCUAUUAUUAAUAUUACCAAAGCGAUUUCUUGCACAUGUUGUUAAACUUUCCAAGCCUGCCUCACGUACAUAUUAAACAAAAGUUAUACGACGAAAAUGCCUCGAGCUAUGGGCGAACUACGAAAAUCAAAUCCCAUAGUCAAAAAACAAAUCCAAACCCAACAGUUGUGCCAAUAUUUGCAGACCUCACUGUUUGCCUUUGUCUCUGUGUGUAUUCAUAUUCUAUAAAGUUAAUAACAAUUAGACUUAAGUGUUAAUUAUUUUGUUGCAAUUUGAAUAAGCGUGUGAAUGAAUAAGUCGAGACUUUGCUUUUACAGAGAGUGCACGCAGCUAAUGCAUUGGGAAUUGCCCCCAAAACGUGAGCG
Molecule: long non-coding RNA, 575 nt
Organism: Drosophila arizonae
Lineage: Eukaryota; Metazoa; Arthropoda; Insecta; Diptera; Drosophilidae
Source: RefSeq, a predicted model, not a curated record